GGAUUAGAUACCCUGGUAGUCCACGCUGUAAACGAUGGAUGCUAGACGUGGUGGGUCUUGACCCCUGCCGUGUCGAAGUUAACACGAUAAGCAUCCCGCCUGGGAAGUACGGUCGCAAGACUAAAACUCAAAGGAAUUGACGGGGGCCCGCACAAGCAGUGGAUCAUGUGGUUUAAUUCGAAGCAACGCGAAGAACCUUACCUGGGUUUGACAUCCUCUGAAUAAUUUAGAGAUAGAUUAGGCUCGCAAGAGACAGAGAGACAGGUGCUGCAUGGCUGUCGUCAGCUCGUGCCG
Molecule: ribosomal RNA, 294 nt
Filed under: uncultured bacterium
Lineage: Bacteria
Description: partial 16S ribosomal RNA
Rfam family: Bacterial small subunit ribosomal RNA
Source: RNAcentral